This 398-nucleotide ribosomal RNA is filed under the name Listeria monocytogenes. Its description in RNAcentral is "partial 23S ribosomal RNA". It matches the Rfam family "Bacterial large subunit ribosomal RNA", at positions 453 to 853 of the family's 2925-position model. Lineage: Bacteria; Bacillati; Bacillota; Bacilli; Caryophanales; Listeriaceae. The record is from RNAcentral.
CCAUCUCCCAAGGCUAAAUACUCCCUAGUGACCGAUAGUGAACCAGUACCGUGAGGGAAAGGUGAAAAGCACCCCGGAAGGGGAGUGAAACAGUUCCUGAAACCGUGUGCCUACAAGUAGUUAGAGCCCGUUAAUGGGUGAUAGCGUGCCUUUUGUAGAAUGAACCGGCGAGUUACGAUUUGUUGCAAGGUUAAGCGGAAAAAGCGGAGCCGUAGCGAAAGCGAGUCUGAAUAGGGCGCAUAAGUAACAGGUCGUAGACCCGAAACCAGGUGAUCUACCCAUGUCCAGGAUGAAGGUAAGGUAAUACUUACUGGAGGUCCGAACCCACGCACGUUGAAAAGUGCGGGGAUGAGGUGUGGGUAGCGGAGAAAUUCCAAUCGAACUUGGAGAUAGCUGGU